Molecule: ribosomal RNA, 503 nt
Filed under: uncultured bacterium
Lineage: Bacteria
Description: partial 16S ribosomal RNA
Rfam family: Bacterial small subunit ribosomal RNA
Source: RNAcentral
AUUGAACGCUGGCGGCAGGCUUAACACAUGCAAGUCGAGCGGGGUGAUGGUGCUUGCACUAUCACUUAGCGGCGGACGGGUGAGUAAUGCUUAGGAAUCUGCCUAUUAGUGGGGGACAACAUCUCGAAAGGGAUGCUAAUACCGCAUACGUCCUAUGGGAGAAAGCAGGGGAUCACUUGUGACCUUGCGCUAAUAGAUGAGCCUAAGGCGGAUUAGCUAGUUGGUGGGGUAAAGGCCUACCAAGGGGACGAUCUGUAGCGGGUCUGAGAGGAUGAUCCGCCACACUGGGACUGAGACACGGCCCAGACUCCUACGGGAGGCAGCAGUGGGGAAUAUUGGACAAUGGGGGGAACCCUGAUCCAGCCAUGCCGCGCGUGUGAAGAAGGCCUUAUGGUUGUAAAGCACUUUAAGCGAGGAGGAGGCUCUUUUGGUUAAUACCCAAGAUGAGUGGACGUUACUCGCAGAAUAAGCACCGGCUAACUCUGUGCCAGCAGCCGCCGUAA